This is a long non-coding RNA of Perognathus longimembris pacificus (Pacific pocket mouse), 291 nucleotides long. RefSeq lists it as uncharacterized. Lineage: Eukaryota; Metazoa; Chordata; Mammalia; Rodentia; Heteromyidae. The transcript is spliced from 4 exons. The record is from RefSeq and is a predicted model, not a curated record.
GAACACCUCAGUCAGGGCGCAUCUGCUGGAAUUUUGGAUCCAGGCGGCUGAGGGUUGCCGCGUCCUGAGGAAUUUCUCCUCACUGCACGCCAUCAUGUCUGCCCUGCAGAGCAGAGCCAUCUCUCGUCUGCACAGGUCAUGGCAACAGGUCUCCAGGAAGGACUUGCUCACAUUCCAAAAGCUGGCCGAGAUCACCUCUCCUGAAAACAACUACUCUAAGAGUAGAGAGCUGCUACUGAAGGAGACCCGCAAGCUGGCGAAGCUGCUCAAAGGAGGUCCUAGGCAGUCUAA